RNAcentral lists this ribosomal RNA (313 nucleotides) under Scymnus perdere. Its description in RNAcentral is "LSU rRNA". It matches the Rfam family "Eukaryotic large subunit ribosomal RNA", at positions 666 to 944 of the family's 3401-position model. Lineage: Eukaryota; Metazoa; Arthropoda; Insecta; Coleoptera; Coccinellidae. The record is from RNAcentral.
CCAAGGAGUCUAGCGUGUGCGCGAGUCAUUGGGAUAACACUAAACCUAAAGGCGCAAUGAAAGUAAAAGUUCGUCUAGCGCGAACCGAGGGAAGACGGUCGGUCGUAUUCGGACCGGCCCGCAUUCCCGGGGCGUCUCGUUCUCAUUGCGAGAAGAGGCGCACCAAGAGCGUACACGCUGGGACCCGAAAGAUGGUGAACUAUGCCUGGUCAGGACGAAGUCAGGGGAAACCCUGAUGGAGGUCCGUAGCGAUUCUGACGUGCAAAUCGAUCGUCGGAACUGGGUAUAGGGGCGAAAGACUAAUCGAACCAUC